CCUUUGUGUGUGUGUGUGUGCGCGCCCGCGCACGCGUGUUUUAAAUUGUUUUUAUUUUUUACUGUUUUGCAAAAUAUUCUGUAAUCGGGUGUUUCCCUCGUGCACCAGCUUAGCUAGGUUUUGUGGUUCAAAUUUCAGCAAAGUACAACCCCUUGUCAAAAAAGUGAAUAUCUCAUGUUAAUGAGUCAUGUUGUUUAGGUGUAGUGAAUAUUGCUGUUAACAGUACAGUCGUCAUAAUUCUAGUCCUUCUAUGAGUUGUAAUUAGGAAUAGUGAAUAUUGAUGGCUGAGGGAGGGGGGAAGUGUGGAUGAGGUAGAGAAGUGCGUUUGCGCAUCCUAUGGUCAAUUUAUGCAUACUAAAUAGAUAUUGAAAGAAAUUGGCUACAUGGCCUGCUGUGAGGAGAUGGUGUUUUGGUAUGAGGAUAAUAGUUUCUGUUGAUAAAUAUAACAACAGAGGUGGGGCCAUAUGGUGGCCUGAAUAAGCAGAGGAUAUGUUCUUUUUAAACUUGGCUGUUUUCCAUAUGUCGUUUGGUAAACUUGGAUUACAGAUCAUUGAAAUAUCAACUGUGUUUU
Molecule: unclassified non-coding RNA, 571 nt
Filed under: Hevea brasiliensis (rubber tree)
Lineage: Eukaryota; Viridiplantae; Streptophyta; Magnoliopsida; Malpighiales; Euphorbiaceae
Source: RNAcentral